CGAACGCUGGCGGCGUGCUUAACACAUGCAAGUCGAACGGAAAGGCCCUGCUUUUGUGGGGUGCUCGAGUGGCGAACGGGUGAGUAACACGUGAGUAACCUGCCCUUGACUUUGGGAUAACUUCAGGAAACUGGGGCUAAUACCGGAUAGGAGCUCCUGCUGCAUGGUGGGGGUUGGAAAGUUUCGGCGGUUGGGGAUGGACUCGCGGCUUAUCAGCUUGUUGGUGGGGUAGUGGCUUACCAAGGCUUUGACGGGUAGCCGGCCUGAGAGGGUGACCGGCCACAUUGGGACUGAGAUACGGCCCAGACUCCUACGGGAGGCAGCAGUGGGGAAUAUUGCACAAUGGGCGGAAGCCUGAAGCAGCAACGCCGCGUGCGGGAUGACGGCCUUCGGGUUGUAAACCGCUUUCGCCUGUGACGAAGCGUGAGUGACGGUAAUGGGUAAAGAAGCACCGGCUAACUACGU
This 465-nucleotide ribosomal RNA is filed under the name uncultured bacterium. RNAcentral's name for it is "partial 16S ribosomal RNA". It matches the Rfam family "Bacterial small subunit ribosomal RNA", at positions 30 to 506 of the family's 1533-position model. The record is from RNAcentral.